Molecule: unclassified non-coding RNA, 76 nt
Filed under: Polaribacter dokdonensis DSW-5
Lineage: Bacteria; Pseudomonadati; Bacteroidota; Flavobacteriia; Flavobacteriales; Flavobacteriaceae
Description: Flavo-1 RNA
Source: RNAcentral
GCUUAGCCCUGAUUGAAGCAAUUGUUUGAGCUCUUUUGAGGCACGAAAAAAGCGAGUGCGUAAAGCAGGAAAUAGC